This 208-nucleotide long non-coding RNA is filed under the name Malus domestica (apple). RNAcentral describes it as "long non-coding RNA (MDOM_LNC016746)". The record is from RNAcentral. Lineage: Eukaryota; Viridiplantae; Streptophyta; Magnoliopsida; Rosales; Rosaceae.
GCCAAACACCUUCAAAGUACUUCACAAACAUUUCUCAUAAGACAAUCUCGCACUGCUCGCUUGGAAAGGGUAAGGAAAAAUGUUUCAGGUAUAAGGGUAGACAUAUCUGGUGAUAAGAAAUAAAAGGCUCAACGUACACGGCUCAAAUUGGCAAUCUAAUGAUAUCAUUUUUCUUUGGGAAACAUGGUUAUUUGGGCCAUAGUGGUAA